UCGCCUGUUUAUCAAAAACAUAGCCUAGUGAUCUAUACUAGGUGAAACCUGCCCAGUGCGUUAGUCAACGGCCGCAGUACCCUGACUGUGCUAAGGUAGCAUAAUCAGUUGGCUUUUAAAUGGAGUCGGGAAUGAAUGGAUUAAUGGGGUUAAGCUGUCUCUCUUACACUUAUUUGAACUUUUUUAUUAGGUGAAAAUACCUAAAUGUAGAAAAAAGACGAGAAGACCCUAGGAGUUUUAACUAAAACUUUUUAAUGGUUACGUUUUUGUUGGGGCGACAAGAGAGGAAAUGAACCUCUUUUUUGAAUUAGCCGACUUUGUAAGUAAAUUUAAACUACCCUAGGGAUAACAGCGUAAUUCUUUUUGAGUUUGCGACCUCGAUGUUGGACUAGGAAUUUGGUAGGUUAGCCGCCUAUUAAAAUUGUUCUGUUCGAACUAAUUUUCCUACGUGAUCUG
Molecule: ribosomal RNA, 456 nt
Filed under: Ercolania felina
Lineage: Eukaryota; Metazoa; Mollusca; Gastropoda; Limapontiidae
Description: partial 16S ribosomal RNA
Rfam family: Bacterial large subunit ribosomal RNA
Source: RNAcentral